Molecule: ribosomal RNA, 442 nt
Filed under: uncultured bacterium
Lineage: Bacteria
Description: partial 16S ribosomal RNA
Rfam family: Bacterial small subunit ribosomal RNA
Source: RNAcentral
CCUACGGGUGGCAGCAGUAGGGAAUAUUUCACAAUGGGCGAAAGCCUGAUGGAGCAACGCCGCGUGCAGGAUGAAGGCCCUCGGGUUGUAAACUGCUUUUAUAAGCGAGAAAUAUGAUGGUACCUUAUGAAUACGGAUCGGCUAACUACGUGCCAGCAGCCGCGGUCAUCCGUAGGAGCCGAGCAUUAUCCGGAGUGACUGGGUGUAAAGACUUGCGUAGGUGGCAUAAUAAGUAGCUAGUGAAAUCUGGUGGCUCAACCAUUCAGACUAUUAGCUAAACUGUUAAGCUCGAGACCGUUAGGAGUAACUGGAAUGUGUAGUGUAGGAGUGAAAUCCGUAGAUAUUAGAAGGAACACCGAUAGCGUAGGCAGGUUACUGGGACGGUUCUGACACUAAGGCACGAAAGCGUAGGGAGCAAACGGGAUUAGAUACCCUGGUAGUC